AGUGAACGCUGGCGGCAGGCCUAAUACAUGCAAGUCGAACGGCAGCACAGCAGAGCUUGCUCUGUGGGUGGCGAGUGGCGGACGGGUGAGGAAUACAUGGGAAUCUGCCCAGUCGUGGGGGAUAACGUAUGGAAACGUACGCUAAUACCGCAUGCGCCCUACGGGGGAAAGUCGGGGACCGCAAGGCCUGACGCGAUUGGAUGAGCCCAUGUUCGAUUAGCUAGUUGGCGGGGUAAAGGCCCACCAAGACGACGAUCGAUAGCUGGUCUGAGAGGAUGAUCAGCCACACUGGAACUGAGACACGGUCCAGACUCCUACGGGAGGCAGCAGUGGGGAAUAUUGGACAAUGGGCGCAAGCCUGAUCCAGCAAUGCCGCGU
This 378-nucleotide ribosomal RNA is filed under the name uncultured bacterium. Its description in RNAcentral is "bacterial SSU rRNA". It matches the Rfam family "Bacterial small subunit ribosomal RNA", at positions 29 to 402 of the family's 1533-position model. The record is from RNAcentral.